RNAcentral lists this small RNA (80 nucleotides) under Flavobacterium sp. TAB 87. RNAcentral describes it as "Flavo-1 RNA". It matches the Rfam family "Flavo-1 RNA". Lineage: Bacteria; Pseudomonadati; Bacteroidota; Flavobacteriia; Flavobacteriales; Flavobacteriaceae. The record is from Rfam by way of RNAcentral.
UUUUAGCCCGGAUGGAAGCGGCAUCCUUUUUGGCUCGCCCUUGCGAAACCAAAAAGAUACAGUGAACAGCCGGAUUAGCU